UCUUACCUUGGGUAUUCAGGUAGUAAUGUUUCCACAAUGGUCUUAAUUUGUGUUUUCCACCUACAUCCCAAAUAGUGAACUUCAGAUUUUUAUAUUCUACAGUUUCCACAUUAAAACCUGUAUUUAAGAAAAAAAAAAAAACGUUAUUUUAAUACUGAACUUAUAUUUAUAGUGAGUGACACACCAACACAAGGUAUCUCCCCGUUUAUCACUGUGACUUACAAUUAUCUUCAAACAGCAAUAUCUAUUCUGCCCAACCAACUCCACUUCUAAUCAACCUAUGAGGGUAAUGUAUACCUUUAUCAGUUAUUAGUCCCCUAUAACUAAAAUUGGAUCCUUAGGACCUUAAAACACAAAUAUCUGCGAACUCUGUACCACUACCAUCCCCUCACCCUUAACCCUCAACAAGGUCACCACUCAUUCCUUCCCACUUGUCCCACCAAAAUUCUGUUCCUUCUUAUUAUCUCACCAUCCACAUUUCAAUCCUACAGCCACUGAAUCUUGCAUUUUCCCUCUGAAAUGCCGGUGUCUUACAGGCAG
Molecule: long non-coding RNA, 540 nt
Organism: Pipistrellus kuhlii (Kuhl's pipistrelle)
Lineage: Eukaryota; Metazoa; Chordata; Mammalia; Chiroptera; Vespertilionidae
Exons: 2
Source: RefSeq, a predicted model, not a curated record